Molecule: long non-coding RNA, 1192 nt
Filed under: Gallus gallus (chicken)
Lineage: Eukaryota; Metazoa; Chordata; Aves; Galliformes; Phasianidae
Description: long non-coding RNA NONGGAT001271
Source: RNAcentral
ACCAGCUUGUAAUGAACCUUGAAUUGUAAGUGUAACCCUUCUUCAUAAUAACAGUCUUCAUCCAACAGCGCUGUUUGGUCACUAAUGGGUUCUUUUGUUGUUGCAGAUGGCUUUGAAUUUCAUGAUGUUGCAAUCGGAAAGCCUUGAACGCUUCAGGAUCAGUUCUAAUAUUUUCCUGUUGGUAAGCCAUUUUAAAGUCAAUAUACAGUUUAUGGUUAUUUUCCAAACACUGAUCCAAAAUGAAAAGUCCAAGAAAUCCCUUCCCAUAAUUCAUGCUGACGCUAAGCGUACACUUCUCCAGUUUUGGCAAAGUAUACUGUGUACACUGGUUGUGUGUUGAGUGUAAUGCUUUCCCUGAGAUCCUCCUGCUCCUUCCGUCUCCUGAGGUAUUUCUAUUUGCUGGUAUUUCUGUUUUGUGAGGGCCUUGACACUGUUGUAUGUGUUCAUGUUUGACUGGUUUACGUGAGCUGCGAAUACUCAGCUAUCACUGAUCUACAUAACUGUGGUCUUGAAGGAAGAUGGAGGUUAAUAAUGCAGAGGAGACAAAUCUGGGCUUUUAAGUGUGACAUACAUUGCAUUCCUUUUCACAGUAUUCUAUUUUUUUUUUUCCAAUUUAUUUUAUUUUCCUUGAUCGAUUCUUCAUUCACGUCUUCUAUUUCAGGUCAUCUCUAUCUCACCUUUUUCCCCCAAUAAAGUUACAAUAUCUUUCUCCUGAUGUUUUAUCUUAGAUACUCAGUGUGGCUCACCACAGCUGGCUGAGAGAAAAAAAGCCCAAACUGCUCAUUUGCCCUGACAAGUCUUCACUCCCUGUGUUUUUGAUGAUUGUCUGUGCUCUGUGCUUGACUUCAGCAGCAGCUAAUAAGUAACUCCUGAUCCAGCAAAACUUCCAAAGGUUGACAGAUAUCACUUGAGCUCCCAUUUCAGAGUAGAUGGAAGCAUUCAUGAUAAAAUAUGGAGACUUUGGAACCAUGAGAAGAACACUCAGACUCCUGAGCAGCUGCCUGGGACCUCCACCACACGUGCAAAAAAGCUCAGUAUAUGUCUUGCUGAUACCUGUUCUUAAUGGCGUAAGGGUCACUGUAGCCAAACUGCUGUGUUAGGGACCAAGACUACGGAAAAAAAUUCAUCAGCUAUAUUUACACUGAUGCAGCAGAAUUGCCAGGUCACAGCCUGUACCAAUGGUUGAGCACCA